UGAGUGGCGAAGGGGUGAGUAACACGUGGGAAACCUGCCCAGAAGCGGGGGAUAACACCUGGAAACAGAUGCUAAUACCGCAUAACAACUUGGACCGCAGGGUCCGAGCUUGAAAGAUGGCUUCGGCUAUCACUUUUGGAUGGUCCCGCGGCGUAUUAGCUAGAUGGUGGGGUAACGGCUCACCAUGGCAAUGAUACGUAGCCGACCUGAGAGGGUAAUCGGCCACAUUGGGACUGAGACACGGCCCAAACUCCUACGGGAGGCAGCAGUAGGGAAUCUUCCACAAUGGACGAAAGUCUGAUGGAGCAACGCCGCGUGAGUGAAGAAGGGUUUCGGCUCGUAAAACUCUGUUGUUAAAGAAGAACAUAUCUGAGAGUAACUGUUCAGGUAUUGACGGUAUUUAACCAGAAAGCCACGGCUAACUACGUGCCAGCAGCCGCGGUAAUACGUAGGUGGCAAGCGUUGUCCGGAUUUAUUGGGCGUAAAGCGAGCGCAGGCGGUUUUUUAAGUCUGAUGUGAAAGCCUUCGGCUCAACCGAAGAAGUGCAUCGGAAACUGGGAAACUUGAGUGCAGAAGAGGACAGUGGAACUCCAUGUGUAGCGGUGAAAUGCGUAGAUAUAUGGAAGAACACCAGUGGCGAAGGCGGCUGUCUGGUCUGUAACUGACGCUGAGGCUCGAAAGUAUGGGUAGCAAACAGGAUUAGAUACCCUGGUAGUCCAUACCGUAAACGAUGAAUGCUAAGUGUUGGAGGGUUUCCGCCCUUCAGUGCUGCAGCUAACGCAUUAAGCAUUCCGCCUGGGGAGUACGGCCGCAAGGCUGAAACUCAAAGGAAUUGACGGGGGCCCGCACAAGCGGUGGAGCAUGUGGUUUAAUUCGAAGCUACGCGAAGAACCUUACCAGGUCUUGACAUACUAUGCAA
Molecule: ribosomal RNA, 919 nt
Filed under: Lactiplantibacillus plantarum
Lineage: Bacteria; Bacillati; Bacillota; Bacilli; Lactobacillales; Lactobacillaceae
Description: bacterial SSU rRNA
Rfam family: Bacterial small subunit ribosomal RNA
Source: RNAcentral